This 449-nucleotide ribosomal RNA is filed under the name uncultured bacterium. RNAcentral's name for it is "partial 16S ribosomal RNA". It matches the Rfam family "Bacterial small subunit ribosomal RNA", at positions 29 to 523 of the family's 1533-position model. The record is from RNAcentral.
AACGAACGCUGGCGGCAUGCCUAACACAUGCAAGUCGAACGAACCCUUCGGGGUUAGUGGCGCACGGGUGCGUAACGCGUGGGGAUCUGCCCUUUGCUUCGGAAUAACAGUUAGAAAUGACUGCUAAUACCGGAUGAUGUCGCAAGACCAAAGAUUUAUCGGCAAAGGAUGAACCCGCGUAGGAUUAGCUAGUUGGUGAGGUAAAGGCUCACCAAGGCGACGAUCCUUAGCUGGUCUGAGAGGAUGAUCAGCCACACUGGGACUGAGACACGGCCCAGACUCCUACGGGAGGCAGCAGUGGGGAAUAUUGGACAAUGGGCGAAAGCCUGAUCCAGCAAUGCCGCGUGAGUGAUGAAGGCCCUAGGGUUGUAAAGCUCUUUUACCAGGGAUGAUAAUGACAGUACCUGGAGAAUAAGCUCCGGCUAACUUCGUGCCAGCAGCCGCCGCGG